ACUCAAUAUGCAGUUCAUUAUGGUGGAGCAACCAAACUGGAUGUUGGCAGUGACACCCGGCCCACCCUCACCGUCCUGCCCCCCUCCAGUGUGGAGCUGCAGCAGGGGAAAGCCACACUCAUGUGUCUGGCCAACAAGGGCUUCCCCUCAGACUGGAAGCUGAACUGGAAGGUGGAUGGUAAGAGUUGGAGUUCAGGGGUGAGCUCCAGCCCUGGGGUUUUACAGAAGGAUGGUCUCUACAGCUGGAGCAGCACCCUCACCCUCCAGGAGGAGCAGUGGAGUAAGAUGUCAGUGACCUGUGAGGCCACACAGGGCUCCCAGUCUGCAGUGACCCAGACACUGAGUAAAGAUCAGUGUUCUGAGUAG
Molecule: non-coding RNA, 366 nt
Organism: Chanos chanos (milkfish)
Lineage: Eukaryota; Metazoa; Chordata; Actinopteri; Gonorynchiformes; Chanidae
Source: the annotation of a RefSeq genome assembly